Molecule: long non-coding RNA, 1367 nt
Filed under: Ficedula albicollis (Collared flycatcher)
Lineage: Eukaryota; Metazoa; Chordata; Aves; Passeriformes; Muscicapidae
Description: lncRNA (ENSFALG00000023482.1)
Source: RNAcentral
ACCUUGAGGCAGAAGAGUGCUGUCCCUAGGAGUUUUCCUCUCCGAUGCCCCUCCGAGUGAUGUGAGCCCCAAACACAGCUUCAGCUGUUUGCUUUGCUCUGCCCACAGCUAACUCCCCACAAACAGGAUCCAUGCUCCUUGGUGGGUACCUAGCCCUUGGUCACAAUCAUCAGUAUCAUUGCACUUUUGAUAAAUCAGACCUGUAAUCUUGGUUUCCUACGGUUAGAUCCUAAUGCUCUGGUUUUGUCUCAAUAUUUUUAUUCCUGCCUGCCCUGCAUUUUUCAGACAAGAUCUCAUGUCUCUUCACACUCCUGUACUAUUUUCCUGGUCUCAGCCAUGCUGUUCCUGUAUGACUGAGUAGCCUGCUCUCCCUCCCUGGCUUCUUUUCAGAUUAUGCUCAUUUAUUAGUCAAUUGUUCAAAUCUCCUUCCCUUCCUGCUCGUUAUUCUCUUAUUUCUUCUUUAGGUUAUCUUACAGCCUCGCCUCUUCUUGAGUAGGAAACCCACUCAGACUCCUAUAACUUUGUUCAGCCCUACUUUGUGGGAAGAUAGUUUGUAAGUGUAGUGCAGAAGGCAAUUUUCCUCCAAUUAUAACAGCUGUACUGAUUACCAAGAAGUGGAAACAGCCUUGCCUGCCCAAUGAGGAUGGGUGUUAUAAAAGAGUGGGCUAGCUAAUACAGAAUUACAGUUGUGGUUGAAGAUGGAGUUGGAGCUUGAGAUCCAGAGUUUGCUGCAAUUAGGGAUGGAGCCUGCUGGCUGUGCUGUGAGAAGGAAGGGACAUGUGGUUGUGCAAGAGACAGAUAAGAUUGCCACUGAACAAGAAUUUCAAAGUUGAGAAAAAUUUGGAAAAGUUGGGAAACUGUGACUACAGUAGGAUGUUCAAAUGCAACACCAGGAUGUCCUCCAGUCUCCUCAAAAACUCAUUCCAGAGCACAGUCUCAGAGAAAACUUGCACAGGUAGGAUGCUCAAAUGCAACACCAGGAUGUCCUCCAGUCUCCUCAAAAACUCAUUCCAGAGCACAGUCUCAGAGAAAACUUGCUGGCAUGUGGUGUCACACCAACAUUGUAAAACUAUAUGGGAAUUGCUUAUUAAAUGAAUUAAAAGUGCUCCAUUUCAAUGGAUGCUUUCCCCACUAAUAUAGUACCCAAAGAACAAGAUGGAAAAAAUGCGAUUUGAAGAGAGAUGUAAGAUUAUAUUUACUCAAAAGUCAAAUGUGACAUGGAUGAGAGACCACACCUGAGAACAUAAUAAUGGCCUAGCAGGACUGGAAGAGAAGCUUGAGAAAACUUCUCACCAACCACAUUUUUCUCCCUUGAGAAAAGCUUCUCCCCAACCACAUUUCUGAGGCAGACCAUCUCCCUGAAAUAU